GAUGGACGCUGGCGGCGUGCCUAAUACAUGCAAGUCGAGCGAACAGACGAGGAGCUUGCUCCUCUGACGUUAGCGGCGGACGGGUGAGUAACACGUGGAUAACCUACCUAUAAGACUGGGAUAACUUCGGGAAACCGGAGCUAAUACCGGAUAAUAUAUUGAACCGCAUGGUUCAAUAGUGAAAGACGGUUUUGCUGUCACUUAUAGAUGGAUCCGCGCCGCAUUAGCUAGUUGGUAAGGUAACGGCUUACCAAGGCAACGAUGCGUAGCCGACCUGAGAGGGUGAUCGGCCACACUGGAACUGAGACACGGUACAGACUCCUACGGGAGGCAGCAGUAGGGAAUCUUCCGCAAUGGGCGAAAGCUUGACGGAGCAACGCCGCGUGAGUGAUGAAGGUCUUCGGAUCGUAAAACUCUGUUAUUAGGGAAGAACAAAUGUGUAAGUAACUAUGCACGUCUUGACGGUACCUAGUCAGAAAGCCACGGCUAACUACGUG
Molecule: ribosomal RNA, 497 nt
Filed under: uncultured bacterium
Lineage: Bacteria
Description: partial 16S ribosomal RNA
Rfam family: Bacterial small subunit ribosomal RNA
Source: RNAcentral